Ipomoea nil (Japanese morning glory) is the source of this 101-nucleotide long non-coding RNA. RefSeq lists it as uncharacterized. Lineage: Eukaryota; Viridiplantae; Streptophyta; Magnoliopsida; Solanales; Convolvulaceae. The record is from RefSeq and is a predicted model, not a curated record. The transcript has 3 exons.
CUGGAUUUUGGGCUAUGCAAGCUGGGCUACAGCAUAGGAUCCCAAAUUUUUGAGGGCUCAAUAUUUAAAUUUUACCUAGCAAUAAAAAGUUUGCAAUCAAU